RNAcentral lists this ribosomal RNA (253 nucleotides) under uncultured bacterium. Its description in RNAcentral is "partial 16S ribosomal RNA". It matches the Rfam family "Bacterial small subunit ribosomal RNA", at positions 524 to 776 of the family's 1533-position model. The record is from RNAcentral.
UACGUAGGGUGCGAGCGUUAAUCGGAAUUACUGGGCGUAAAGUGUGCGCAGGCGGCCGAGCAAGUCGAGUGUGAAAGCCCCGAGCUUAACUUGGGAACUGCGCUCGAAACUACUUGGCUAGAGUGUGGCAGAGGGAGGUGGAAUUCCACGUGUAGCGGUGAAAUGCGUAGAUAUCUGGAGGAAUACCGGUGGCGAAGGCGGCAUCCUGGACCAUUACUGACGCUGAGGCGCGAAAGCUAGGGGAGCAAACGGG